UAGAAUCCACAGGUUACUUAAUUCUGAAAAUUAUAGACUGAAAAAUGUAUUUAGGAGCAUAUCCUAUACAGAUAAAUUUUUUAACUCAGCUAAAGCUUAAAGUGAAGUUGCUUUUUAGAUAACUGCUGGAAACCCUGUUGUAAGUAUGGCCAAGUUGUUAUUGAAGACACCGGAAAUUAUUACCGGUAACAGCAGGAUUCUUUCGCUACUUCAAAAAAAGUCGAUUAAAUUACUACCUAGAUAUAAUUUUUUGACCUAUUUAACUCUUCAUACCAAAGUUAAUAAACUUAUUAUUGCUU
This is a non-coding RNA of Schizosaccharomyces pombe (fission yeast), 299 nucleotides long. The record is from the annotation of a GenBank genome assembly. Lineage: Eukaryota; Fungi; Ascomycota; Schizosaccharomycetes; Schizosaccharomycetales; Schizosaccharomycetaceae.